Molecule: ribosomal RNA, 468 nt
Filed under: uncultured bacterium
Lineage: Bacteria
Description: partial 16S ribosomal RNA
Rfam family: Bacterial small subunit ribosomal RNA
Source: RNAcentral
GACGAACGCUGGCGGCGUGCUUAACACAUGCAAGUCGAACGGAAAGGCCCUGCUUUUGUGGGGUGCUCGAGUGGCGAACGGGUGAGUAACACGUGAGUAACCUGCCCUUGACCUUGGGAUAACUUCAGGAAACUGGGGCUAAUACCGGAUAGGAGCUCCUGCUGCAUGGUGGGGGUUGGAAAGUUUCGGCGGUUGGGGAUGGACUCGCGGCUUAUCAGCUUGUUGGUGGGGUAGUGGCUUACCAAGGCUUUGACGGGUAGCCGGCCUGAGAGGGUGACCGGCCACAUGGGGACUGAGAUACGGCCCAGACUCCUACGGGAGGCAGCAGUGGGGAAUAUUGCACAAUGGGCGGAAGCCUGAUGCAGCAACGCCGCGUGCGGGAUGACGGCCUUCGGGUUGCAAACCGCUUUCGCCUGUGACGAAGCGUGAGUGACGGUAAUGGGUAAAGAAGCACCGGCUAACUACGUG